This 560-nucleotide ribosomal RNA is filed under the name uncultured bacterium. RNAcentral's name for it is "bacterial SSU rRNA". It matches the Rfam family "Bacterial small subunit ribosomal RNA", at positions 338 to 916 of the family's 1533-position model. The record is from RNAcentral.
CCUACGGGAGGCAGCAGUGAGGAAUUUUCCGCAAUGGGCGAAAGCCUGACGGAGCAAUACCGCGUGAGGGAUGAAGGAUUUUGGUCUGUAAACCUCUUUUCUCAAGAAAGAAGUUCUGACGGUACCUGAGGAAUAAGCAUCGGCUAACUCCGUGCCAGCAGCCGCGGUAAUACGGGGGAUGCGAGCGUUAUCCGGAAUGAUUGGGCGUAAAGCGCCUGUAGGUUGUUUAUUAAGUCCGUUGUUAAAGCCUAGGGCUUAACCCUAGAAAAGCAAUGGAAACUAGUAGACUAGAGUAUGGCAGGGGUAGAGGGAAUUUCUAGUGUAGCGGUGAAAUGCGUAGAUAUUAGAAAGAACACCGGUGGCGAAAGCGCUCUACUGGACCAUUACUGACACUCAGAGGCGAAAGCUAGGGUAGCAAAAGGGAUUAGAUACCCCUGUAGUCCUAGCCGUAAACGAUGGAUACUAGAUGUUGUGCAUUAUGUACAGUAUCGUAGCUAACGCGUUAAGUAUCCCGCCUGGGGAGUACGCUCGCAAGGGUGAAACGUCAAAGGAAUUGACGG